This 1817-nucleotide ribosomal RNA is filed under the name Rhodococcus pyridinivorans. RNAcentral describes it as "bacterial SSU rRNA". The stretch from base 718 to 1812 matches the Rfam family "Bacterial small subunit ribosomal RNA". The record is from RNAcentral. Lineage: Bacteria; Bacillati; Actinomycetota; Actinomycetes; Mycobacteriales; Nocardiaceae.
GCCGGACGAUGAUCUGACAUGCAGUCUCGAGCGAUAACCAUGUCUUCUCUGGACUGAUCUCCGCGGUGGGCGCUGCGGAGGAUGACCACGUGCAUCUUCGGAAUCACGGCCGGAUGCUAGUUACCAAAAACGAUUAACGUAUCCGUGUCGUGCAUUUAGUGUGUCUUAUAUCCGGGGGUCGGUAGCGGCCAGGUCCUGUGAUUGCGCUGUGCGCGCGUCGGACGGAGAAAAUUCUCGGGGAAACAUACAUCCGCUGACCUUCGUAUCUCUGAACUAGAGCACUUCGAUAAAUUUGAUGGCUAGACGCAUUUAUUCCUUUUCCCAAGCGGGUCUGUGCGCUCGAAUCGCGUCUCUUCGCGGCUAGGGCCCAGUGCUCGCGUCCCCCAAGCUCGACCCGCACCUCUAUCUAAGACGGGAACAUUUGAACAAGAGGGAGGGAAAGAUUCCAAUCGUGCCCGCACAGUACGGGGGGGGGGAGAUAGAGCUAAGAUUUUUUACAUAGGAAUUCCCUCGUCGCCUCUUCGUACAAACGCUUAAAGGGGCGGGUAUUAAGUUUUCGAAAGUUUUUCUCCCUCCCUCCGUGUAGCGUGCUUGUGCUUUGAGGUUCCCGAUGAGUUCGGGGGUGCGGCAAACAGUCUACAGAUACUCUUUGACCAUAUCACGAUUUUAGGAGGUCGAUGGGCGCGGGUACCGUGGGGGGCGGUCCAUCGACGCACCGCCUUGCUGAAUUAUAUAAAGUUUUGGGGUUCGCGCCGGGGGGGCCCGGGCCGGGUAAAAUAUCGGGAGGCAUCGAUGCCGCUGAGGGAUGCGUCUCAGUGAUACUCUGCAUCAUGACGAGCGCAGUGACGUAGUGAGAGAGCACUGGUCGCUACGUGCCAGCAGCGCGUAUACGUAGGGUGCGAGCGUGUCUGAAUUACUGGGCGUAAGAGCUCGUAGCCGUUGUCGCGUCGUCUGUGAAUCGGCAGCUCACUGCGGGCUGCAGUCUUAUUAUGGCAGACUCGAGUACUGCAGGGGAGACUGAAUUCCUGGUGUAGCGGUGAAAUGCGCAGAUAUCAGGAGGAUCUCCGGUGGCGAAGGCGGGUCUCUGGGCAGUAACUGACGCUGAGGAGCGAAAGCGUGGGUAGCGAACAGGAUUAGAUACCCUGGUAGUCCACGCCGUAAACGGUGGGCGCUAGGUGUGGGUUUCCUUUCCACGGGAUUCCGUGCCGUAGCCAACGCAUUAAGCGCCCCGCCUGGGGAGUACGGCCGCAAGGCUAAAACUCAAAGGAAUUGACGGGGGCCCGCACAAGCGGCGGAGCAUGUGGAUUAAUUCGAUGCAACGCGAAGAACCUUACCUGGGUUUGACAUGUACCGGACGACUGCAGAGAUGUGGUUUCCCUUGUGGCCGGUAGACAGGUGGUGCAUGGCUGUCGUCAGCUCGUGUCGUGAGAUGUUGGGUUAAGUCCCGCAACGAGCGCAACCCUUGUCCUGUGUUGCCAGCACGUGAUGGUGGGGACUCGCAGGAGACUGCCGGGGUCAACUCGGAGGAAGGUGGGGACGACGUCAAGUCAUCAUGCCCCUUAUGUCCAGGGCUUCACACAUGCUACAAUGGUCGGUACAGAGGGCUGCGAUACCGUGAGGUGGAGCGAAUCCCUUAAAGCCGGUCUCAGUUCGGAUCGGGGUCUGCAACUCGACCCCGUGAAGUCGGAGUCGCUAGUAAUCGCAGAUCACAACGCUGCGGUGAAUACGUUCCCGGGCCUUGUACUCACCGCCCGUCACGCAGCAAGUCGGACAGAAACAAGCUAGAGUUGUCCUGCUCAGAUGACCAUAUCAGAGGA